Molecule: small nucleolar RNA, 76 nt
Filed under: Vicugna pacos (alpaca)
Lineage: Eukaryota; Metazoa; Chordata; Mammalia; Artiodactyla; Camelidae
Description: Small nucleolar RNA SNORD112 (ENSVPAG00000017815.1)
Source: RNAcentral
UGAACCAUUGAAGAGAGGAUAUCAUGAACCAAGGGUUAUGACUAAUCAAAUUCUGUACACCAGAGGUAGGUACAAU